GAGGUCCUGCCUUGAGCUCAAGCAUGUCCAUGUCGACCCACCACGACAGGUAGCAUCUCCAUCUCCCUCUCAUCUUCCUCUGCUCGCUACUACUGCUAAGUUAAGGAAUAGUUGAUGCAAUCCUGGUUGUGUCAAGGAAUUCAAGAAGGAUUUGUAUGAACAAGUCCAGUUUAUUUAUUUAUUUAGUUAGUACCAAACACACACAUACACACACACACACAGAAGAUGAGCUCCAGAUUGGUCAAUUUUGCUGCUACCACAUUGAUUUGUAUCUGUGCAAGCAUCUCCAUGCUGUUUGUAUUGUUUGGAUUGCAAGAAAUAUAGUUUUGGGUGACCUGCACUUAGUUUAACUUCUCUAAAAAAUCAACCAUUUGACAUAAAUAUGUUGUGUACAUUUUGAACCCCCCCAUCAUGACACAAUUGAUAUGUAUAUGCAGCAGGGCAAUACAUAGCAUUAUAAGUUAAAUUCUUGCUUGCUCUGUUUGUUAAUCCUUGCUUAUUUAUUUGUUUGGUUUGGAUGCAGCAGGUGCCGUCCUUCCAUGGACGAGGAGGACAACGACCUGGACCUCGACGGCGACGUUGUCAACCCCGCACAAGGUCGCUCGCACCCAAUAAGCAUUUUUUGUCAAGUUACCGCUGCUUUGUUUUUGCAAUUCGCUUGUUGUUCAGUAAACUAGUCAAUAGUGUUUGUGAGCAUAGCCUCCUUGUUCACCAAAUGAAGAAUCCUCCCAAGAAUUUGACCAUUUUCAUUUGUAAAUAUGAAUGGCCACUACUGUUUCUAGUUUUAGGUUUGGAUGAGAUGUGUGUUUGCAUGCUUGUGCUUAUGUGGUUGAUGAUCACCUAUGUAUUGGUGUUGCUGGUUUUGGUCAUGAAGUUUCUGUUAUGUAUAUUGAAAUUGCAACCCAAUGAGAGAAUUAGUAUUAGAAUGCUGCAUGUUUAUUAGGAUGUGGCUGAAACCAUUGGAUGACCUUCCUGGACAUGUUUUGUUGCUAUCAAUAUUUGUCCCAUGUUUUGUUUCCUUGCAUACUUAUUACCACAAUCUUUACUACUGCUAUUGUCGUAUCUACUAGUUGUGGUUACCUCAAAUUGACUAGUUUUGUAGAAUAUCUCUGUUCACAUGUACACUACAACACCUUUGUACUAGUGUUGUUGUUGUUGUUUGGCAAACACCAGAGGCAAAUCAUAUUUGUCAUGCAGUUUUUGUAACUUGGCAUUUCUAUAUGGCAUGUUUAUAUUAUUAUACAUUGUGGUGUUCCAUACAUUUGUUGUUGGUUGAACAUGAUCAUUGGUUCGAUAUAAAAGUAGAACUGUUCAUUGAUAGUUUAAUGCUCCAGCAUUCAUGACACUCCCUUCAUGCUUGCUGACCCACACCUUGCUCGGUUGUUCUCACAGUCCUGAUGAGGCCAUGAUGCUUACCUUGCUGGAGCGUAUCAACCCCGACCAUGGCACCACAUUCACAGUCUUGAGGUAGCCGUGCUGCAACUGCAUCAACG
This 1493-nucleotide long non-coding RNA is filed under the name Triticum aestivum (bread wheat). Its description in RNAcentral is "long non-coding RNA (TAES_LNC007530)". Lineage: Eukaryota; Viridiplantae; Streptophyta; Magnoliopsida; Poales; Poaceae. The record is from RNAcentral.